RNAcentral lists this unclassified non-coding RNA (630 nucleotides) under Hevea brasiliensis (rubber tree). Lineage: Eukaryota; Viridiplantae; Streptophyta; Magnoliopsida; Malpighiales; Euphorbiaceae. The record is from RNAcentral.
CAGCCAAUAAUCUGUUUUAUCCAAAACACUCUAGUCAUGGUCAAGUAAGUGUUGUUGUCUUCCUGCCCAAAGUUUUUUUUCCUUUGCCUAUGCAAGUCUAGUUGAGUUUGAUAUUGGCCUCUCGAGUCCUUUCGAUUCUGUGUUAGUUUGUUGUCCUUUGAGUUUUCUUAUCUGUCAAAACGAAACAAAAAAAGAACAAAAUUUCCACCCUUCAUUUCGAACAAAUUUUGAGUGAUCAUGGAAGAAACAUUUGUUCCCCUACGUGGAAUCAAGAAUGAUCUCAAGGGGAGAUUGUUAUGCUACAAGCAAGACUGGACUGGUGGUCUCCGUGCUGGUAUCAGGAUCCUGGCUCCAACGACCUACAUUUUCUUUGCAUCAGCAAUUCCGGUUAUUUCAUUCGGGGAGCAACUGGAAAGAAGCACCGAUGGAAGUAUAACUGCAGUGCAGACUCUUGCUUCAACAGCACUUUGUGGUGUAAUCCAUUCCAUUCUUGGUGGACAGCCACUCCUUAUACUAGGAGUAGCUGAGCCAACUGUCUUGAUGUACACUUUCAUGUUCAACUUUGCGAAAGAUCGGAAGGACUUGGGUCCGAAUCUCUUUCUAGCCUGGACAGGAUGGGUUUGUGUUUGG